UACGGAGGGGGCUAGCGUUGCUCGGAAUCACUGGGCGUAAAGCGCACGUAGGCGGCUUUUUAAGUCAGAGGUGAAAUCCUGGAGCUCAACUCCAGAACUGCCUUUGAUACUGGAGAGCUUGAGUCCGGGAGAGGUGAGUGGAACUGCGAGUGUAGAGGUGAAAUGCGUAGAGAUCAGGAGGAACACCCGUGGCGAAGGCGGCUCCCUGGUCCGUUACUGACGCUGAGACGCGAAAGCGCGGGGAGCGAACGGG
Molecule: ribosomal RNA, 253 nt
Filed under: uncultured bacterium
Lineage: Bacteria
Description: partial 16S ribosomal RNA
Rfam family: Bacterial small subunit ribosomal RNA
Source: RNAcentral